UCCAGGUCCAUGAAGCCCUCGAGUGUGACCCCUAACCCCAGAGCGAAGUGUAGUGGGGAGGUGGUCUCCGAACCCAAGCUUCCACGUGCCCGAAACGAGGGUGGUAGUGUCAGGAUGCCAUCCUGCCUUGGAGUCAGCAGAUUAUGGACUGCAACCUCUACAAACUGUGAGCUAAAUAAACCUUUCCUCUUUUAACUUUGGAUGUUGGGUAUUUUGUCUCAGCAACAAGAAAAGUAAAUAAGACAGAAUUUGGUACCAGGAUUGGGGUCAUUGCUGUGACUAUACCUAACCUGUGGUUCAGGAGCCUUUGGGUUUGGCUUGUGGGAAGAGUUUGGAAAUGGUCUGAGAUGUGGCUGAAAAAAAAUAGAGCUGG
This 373-nucleotide long non-coding RNA is filed under the name Heterocephalus glaber (naked mole-rat). Its description in RNAcentral is "lncRNA (ENSHGLG00000031078.2)". The record is from RNAcentral. Lineage: Eukaryota; Metazoa; Chordata; Mammalia; Rodentia; Bathyergidae.